RNAcentral lists this ribosomal RNA (341 nucleotides) under Keroplatus testaceus. RNAcentral's name for it is "partial 16S ribosomal RNA". The record is from RNAcentral. Lineage: Eukaryota; Metazoa; Arthropoda; Insecta; Diptera; Keroplatidae.
UUUUUUAAUUGAAAACUUGUAUGAAUGGUUGAAUGAGAUAUAAGCUGUUUCAUAAAAAUUUAAUUAAAACUUUAUUUUUUAGUUAAAAAGCUAAAAUGUAAUUAAAAGACGAGAAGACCCUAUAAAGUUUUAUAAUUAUUUAUUAAUUUAUUUAUAUGAUUUUUUUAAAAUUUAUUAAAAAAAAUUAUUUUGUUGGGGUGAUAAUAAAAUUUAAAAAACUUUUAUUGUUUAAAACAUUAAUUUAUGAUAUGAUGAUCCUUUAUUAAAGAUUAAAAAUUUAAAUUACUUUAGGGAUAACAGCGUAAUUUUUUUUUUAAGUUCAAAUUUAUAAAAAAGUUUGC